Molecule: ribosomal RNA, 489 nt
Filed under: uncultured bacterium
Lineage: Bacteria
Description: partial 16S ribosomal RNA
Rfam family: Bacterial small subunit ribosomal RNA
Source: RNAcentral
AUGAACGCUAGCGAUAGGCUUAACACAUGCAAGUCGAGGGGCAGCAUGGUCUUAGCUUGCUAAGACUGAUGGCGACCGGCGCACGGGUGCGUAACGCGUAUGCAACUUGCCUCACAGAGGGGGAUAACCCGUCGAAAGACGGACUAAUACCGCGUACACUCCAUCUUGGGCAUCCAAGGUAGAGGAAAUGAAAUUCGCUGUGAGAUAGGCAUGCGUCCCAUUAGCUAGUUGGUGAGGUAACGGCUCACCAAGGCGACGAUGGGUAGGGGAACUGAGAGGUUGAACCCCCACACUGGUACUGAGACACGGACCAGACUCCUACGGGCGGCAGCAGUGAGGAAUAUUGGUCAAUGGGCGAGAGCCUGAACCAGCCAAGUCGCGUGAAGGAUGACUGUCUUAUGGAUUGUAAACUUCUUUUAUACGGGAAUAACAAGAGUCACGUGUGACUCCCUGCAUGUACCGUAUGAAUAAGCAUCGGCUAACUCCGUG